This is a long non-coding RNA of Aegilops tauschii subsp. strangulata, 2437 nucleotides long. RefSeq lists it as uncharacterized. NCBI's taxonomy places the organism in Eukaryota, Viridiplantae, Streptophyta, Magnoliopsida, Poales, Poaceae. The record is from RefSeq and is a predicted model, not a curated record.
GUGGAGUUUCUGUGCGCGAGCACAUAUAAGCUCGUUAUCUAGGACGUUGAGAAUCACGUGGGGAUCUGAGCCGAGAUGUUUGUCGUGGGAAUACAGAAGAGUUGGAGAUGGGUUCGCGGCAGGACCUGAUCUGUGGGCCAGAAAAGCGGCCUCCGUCCGUUGUGCGUGCCGGCGACAGGGACGGCGGUUGCUGAGUUCUUCCUGAUCCGUGGAUCAGAUCGUUUGCCGGGCAGUUGGUCCGUGGACCAAGAAGCUUGCUUGCCACCGCGGGUUGGUAUGGAGAUUUAUUGUGCGCACAGUGGUCUUGCUGUAUGAUUCCUUUUCAUCUACGGGGAGAGAAGAGGAGAGCGAGUGCUUCUGAAGACGAAGUCGUGCACAGUAGGGCGACUUGAUUCCCCGGCCAUGGAGUUUCUAAUGCAGCCGAUAAGCAGAUUCCCCUUCGUUGAGGAAGUUGACGAGAGCUCAAACCCAAUGGAUCUGGUGGAGUACGGACUGAAAGGGUCGAAUCCGAGGUUGCGGCGCCGGUCAUAAAUGGCGCGCAAAUCUGCGAGGGAGAAAGGGCCAGGCCGCCAGGGAGAUCAGACGGGAAAUAUCACCACGAGCAUCUGAGCUUUAGACCGGCAAGAUGAACCCCAGGCUGAGGAUUGGAGCAGCUCCACCUUGCCGGACACCGUGCUCUUCGCGCAUGUCUGCGUUCAAGAACUUGGUGAGUGGUUUUGUGGAGAACCCUAAAGAAAAUGUGAUUGUGCUGGACAUUGGGACAAGUUUUGACUCGCUGAGAGAAGUUUAUGAUUUAUACAAUCUCUAUUAUUUGGAGAAAGAAUUUGGGAUAAGAUAUGGCAAGAGCAGGCACAACAACUCACUGUUGCCUCAUUUUGGAGAACAAAACACUAGCCAUCUCUCAAGCACAUUGAUGUGUACAACCAAGACUUGAUAAAUAUUUAUUGACUUCAUGGAGCUUUUUUUCUUUGAGAUUUUUAAGAAAUAAAACUACGAAGUUUGGUCAGUACAUAUAUCACCUUUUGGAUUUAUUUUGUCUUUCAAAAGAUUUCAGUUGAGUUAUGUUGCCUGCUGAUGUGUGAAUGCAAAUUCAGCCAUGGCUUUCCAAAUGAAUGGCAGGGUUUGAUGGGGAUCGAUGUAUGUAAAAUCGGUAAGUGCAAUGUUCUUGUGUGCUUAUGUACUUCUAUUUGUGUUGGUUGAUAGUUCAUUUUUGUUUAAUUCUUCUACAUAUAAUUUCGUCUAACAGGUGUUCUGCUAUGCCUUAUUAUGGCAACUGGAAUAUGUGCACUAAUCCUUGGGUUAUGGCCUAUGCAUCUUAUUUAGACAUACUACUGCAUCAUCAUUUAAAGUGUGUAUCUUCUGCAGUUUCACUUUUAACGAUCACAUUAAUACAUGUUGAAAUACUCAUAUUAUGCAUUCUCAUUUUCACGGAGGUGGAACCAGAAUGGUUGGACAUGUUGUAAAGAAGCUUCUACUUAUUGCUUCUGCUGUGACCUUGAUCUUAUGGUUAAUAUUAGGCAUCUCGGGAAGUGCUUUUGCUGGAUUAUUAUAUGGCUUUCCAGCACAAAUAAUGACCGCCAUUUGUUUGUGUUUAUGACAAAGCCAUUUGUUCAAUUCUUUGUGGUACAUUUUUCUCUUCAUCAAGCAUACUACUCCCUCCAUCCCAUAAUAUAAGAGCGUUUUUUACACUACACUGUAGUGUAAAAAACGCUCUUAUAUUAUGGGACGGAGGGAGUAUUUGUUUUUGUUUAUGACAUUUCUGCUUUGUUAGAACACAUUUUACAUUUUUCUUACCAUCUCAAAACUGUAGGAUGGAACAUGGAGUAGUAUUAUUGGAAUUUGUACAGUGAUCAUUGAUUUGGAAAACAUGAUUUCCACUCCUAUUUUCCAGUUAUGGAUGAUCUUCGUUUUCAGAGACCUCCUGAUGGAAGUCUAUAUGAGAUAAGAUUCCUUCAUAUUCCCGGGGCAUUGUUAACUGUUGCUUGUGGACUCAUACUGGAUGCACUAAUGUUCACAAUAAUUGCCAUCUACAAGUGCCCUGUGAUGCUUUUCAAAUGGUGGAAAUGCCUGAUUAAGGAUUUGAUUGGGGGAGAAGUACUUUUUAAAAGUGGCAUGUAUUCUUGUCUUAAGAGUGACCUGUGCAUGAUGGUCAGGGGCACCACGGCAAUCUUAUUACUCCCUCCGUUCCUAAAUAUUUAUCUUUUUAGGAUUUUAAAUGGACUACCACAUAUGGAUGCAUAUAGACAUAUUUUAGAGUGUAGAUUCACUCAUUUUGCUCCGUAUGUAGUCAUUUGUUGAUAUCUCUAGAAAGACAAAUAUUUAUGAACGGAGGGAGUAUGUGUUAGAGAUAUACUCUAGCAUAGAGCUACAAUAAAUUUGUCGAACUUGUGUUGCAAAAAAUUGUUUUAUGAUUCCAAACACAUGUCACAACUGGUUA